GCAAGCGACAAGAGCGUGGAAGGUUACGAUGGAUCCAGAGAGAUAAAAGUUUGACGAGUCAGCCCUUGUUCCAGAAAACCAGUUUCUUGCUCAACACCCGGUAAUGUUUUCCUCGGACUCUCAUUGCCUUUCUUUCUCUUUUUUGUAAGCUGUAUAUCUAAGCAGUUAUAUAUUUUCAAGGUUGGGCUAGAUUCAUGGUUAAUAUUCCCCAAGCCUUUGAUGCAUAGAUGGAGCACAUAGUGCAAUCGUUAUCAGAAACCGUGGCAUGUUUGAAAGAGAGAAUAGCUGUGCUGAUCAGAAUUUAAGCAAGCAAGCAGAAGUUAAGUGGAAAUGUUGAUUAUUUGGAAAAGAAGAGAAAAUAAUGAGAGUGGAAUUAUUAAUGGUCCUCUACUUCUUCAUCAUGUUUUGAAGUUAACAAAUAUUGUUUUCGAAAUGCCUAUUUUGUCAAGUUGCUAAAAUUCAUAUUAAUUUUGGAAAGUAUUUAGUUUCUAGUCAAAACACCAAAAAUGAGUACUUAACCAAAUGACACAUAUAUAGGCGAUUGUUCAUUUGAUACAUAAAAUCUUUUCAGGUUGG
Molecule: RNA transcript, 576 nt
Organism: Arabidopsis thaliana (thale cress)
Lineage: Eukaryota; Viridiplantae; Streptophyta; Magnoliopsida; Brassicales; Brassicaceae
Exons: 1
Source: RefSeq